Molecule: non-coding RNA, 30 nt
Filed under: Homo sapiens (human)
Lineage: Eukaryota; Metazoa; Chordata; Mammalia; Primates; Hominidae
Source: RNAcentral
UAAAAUGUCAGGCUGACUUCUUCUCAAUCC